UUACUGAAGUGAGAAAGAACGGGACUUGCCGUUGGUUAAGACCAGACGGGAAGACCCAAGUCACUGUUGAGUACUACAACGACAACGGCGCGAUGGUUCCGGUCCGUGUCCACACCGUCCUCAUCUCAACCCAGCACGAUGAGACCGUGACCAACGACGAGAUCGCACGUGACCUCAAGGAGCACGUGAUCAAGCCCAUCAUCCCGGAGAAGUACCUUGACGACAAAACCAUCUUCCACCUCAACCCAUCAGGCCGGUUCGUGAUCGGUGGACCGCACGGUGACGCCGGUUUAACCGGACGUAAGAUCAUCAUCGACACUUACGGAGGGUGGGGAGCUCACGG
This 343-nucleotide long non-coding RNA is filed under the name Brassica napus (rape). RNAcentral's name for it is "long non-coding RNA (BNAP_LNC003455)". The record is from RNAcentral. Lineage: Eukaryota; Viridiplantae; Streptophyta; Magnoliopsida; Brassicales; Brassicaceae.